GCCAUUUUAGCCUACUGAUGUGAGGGCGGAGGGUGCUGUGUGGUUCACAGCAGGGGCAGCGAGCAGCGAGCGGGCACAGAUCAGAGACAGGUGUCAGUGAUACACAAAGCUGCUUCCUGUGAAGUGAGCUGGGAUGAAGCCAACAGGUGAGCUCAGGCUUGGCGCUUUCCCCGAGCUCCUGAAAGGAGACUGUUCGUGAGGGUUUCUCUAAGGGUCUGGAGAAUGAACAAAAGAGGGUGGGACAGGGUGAUCUUUAAGCUCCAGGAUCCAACACUUUCCUGGAGCAACUUUCGUACACACACACACACACACACACACACACACACAGGAGCACACGCCUGGGAUUUUCUAUGCAGCACCAGUCACCAACUCCCGCUGUCCCUGAACUACACCAUCAGCAUUUUCCUGACGCAGUGUUGCAGAAGGCUGAAGGAUUCAGCAUUUCCAGCUUCAGGAGAGGGAAAAAAAAAACAAGACGAAGGGAAAGAAGCUGGCUGGAAAAGAAGAUUUUGCUUAGGUUGCACUGUUCUGGACUUGCAGGGAUGAAAAGGCAGGAGGGGGAGGGGGAAGUGGCAAUAGAAAGGGGAAACCUCUUCCCACCUUAGCCGUAAGUCAACCCCAGCCCCAGCACUUCCUGGCUGCGUG
This 645-nucleotide long non-coding RNA is filed under the name Heterocephalus glaber (naked mole-rat). Its description in RNAcentral is "lncRNA (ENSHGLG00100051875.1)". The record is from RNAcentral. Lineage: Eukaryota; Metazoa; Chordata; Mammalia; Rodentia; Bathyergidae.